This 1299-nucleotide long non-coding RNA is filed under the name Mytilus galloprovincialis (Mediterranean mussel). Lineage: Eukaryota; Metazoa; Mollusca; Bivalvia; Mytilida; Mytilidae. The record is from RNAcentral.
UGGUUGUAAGUACAAUUUUAUUGUCUAAAUAUCACAGAGUUAGCAAAAUAAAAAAUAUAAUAACACAAAUUGUCUAAUAACUAUCAACAACUAUCACUAUCUUUUAAUCAAUCAUUCAUUCAUACUAUAUGUUUGUAAAUCAUCUCUACUUUGACAUCAAUCAACCUUUUACAUGUUUAUGUUCAUAUAGAAAAGAUAUAACAUGAAUGAUACUAAGUAAAUGAACUAUUUACCAGAAAUAUGACAAAAGCCUGCAAACAGAUGAUAAGCUAAGAACAUCAUUGACUUUAAACAAAAUAGCUUGAAAGCUUGCACUCAAUACAGGAAAAUUGAUUUCUGAUAAUAUUAUACAAGUGAUGAUUCUAUGAAACUAAGUCUAAAAUUACUUAAAGUUACAUUCCAAUUCCUUUAUAAGCUACCAAGUUGAGAAUAAUAUUUUUUUUUUCAAACAUGUACAAGAACGAUAUAUGAAAUAAUUUGAAAUGCAUUUGGCAGCUAAUGCUGCUUUCAAACACUAGCAAAACCUAAGAGCACAAUCUGAUUUUUUGUACAAUUUUUCUAUAUUGCAUAAUUUGUUGAAACUAAAAAGGUACUGUUAAGUGAUAUCAUCACUUCCAUCUAUUCCCAUGUGAUUGAUAGUAUUAUAGUACUAUUUGAAAACAACAAGAAAGUUAGGUUUAUUUUGGUGUACCUAAUGAUGAUUAUAUUCACAUUAACAAUAAAACCUUUUAUGUUUAAAUUUUUUUUAGAUUAAAAUAUUUGUUUUUUCUAAAUUAAUAGACUGGUGGUUCUCUUAUUUUAACGCAUUGUAGUAUUACAUUUUUCUCAUUGAAAUUGAAUAGUUAUCACCAAUCAAAAUACUGGAUUUGGUGUUUCAAGCAGAAAAUUUGUAAAGAGGUGCAUUUUGUCUACAAAAAGUUUUAAAAGUCAAAUAGAGUAUUGAAGGCCUGAACUUCUGAAAGGUGUACAACAUAUAUUUAUAUAUUAGAACAUACGGAUAUAAAAAUAAUGUGUUUUGAAUACUCCCUGAUGAAAGCCACACAAGUAAUACAUUGCAAGUCAGAUACCUCUAGUCCUUUGUAAUCAUUUCAAACUGAUCAUUAACUAAAUGGCUUUAUAAAAAUCCUAUGCCAAUACUACUCUGUAAUAUCAGUAACCUUUGAACUUGGAAAAUCUACAUUUUACUUACUACACUAUCUUGCUCUCACUCUCUUGAAUUAUAAUUUUAUGAAUAAAUGCUAUAUAAUAAUUUCAUUUGAUCUUUAGAAAGAAACAUGUUGGAUCAGAAUACAGUGGCGG